GGUAGUUCUCGGGUGACAUACCCCAGAAUUGGGCUCCCUCCUCUCUGGUUCAGGGUGUGUCACCCAAGAACCCCA
This is a non-coding RNA of Myotis lucifugus (little brown bat), 75 nucleotides long. Lineage: Eukaryota; Metazoa; Chordata; Mammalia; Chiroptera; Vespertilionidae. The record is from Rfam.